This 445-nucleotide ribosomal RNA is filed under the name uncultured bacterium. Its description in RNAcentral is "partial 16S ribosomal RNA". It matches the Rfam family "Bacterial small subunit ribosomal RNA", at positions 29 to 523 of the family's 1533-position model. The record is from RNAcentral.
AGCGAACGCUGGCGGCAGGCUUAACACAUGCAAGUCGAACGCCCCGCAAGGGGAGUGGCAGACGGGUGAGUAACACGUGGGAACGUACCCUUUGGUUCGGAUAACUUGGGGAAACUCAAGCUAAUACCGGAUAAGCCCUUAUGGGGAAAGGUUUACUGCCGAAGGAUCGGCCCGCGUCUGAUUAGCUAGUUGGUGAGGUAAUGGCUCACCAAGGCGACGAUCAGUAGCUGGUCUGAGAGGAUGAUCAGCCACACUGGGACUGAGACACGGCCCAGACUCCUACGGGAGGCAGCAGUGGGGAAUAUUGGACAAUGGGGGCAACCCUGAUCCAGCCAUGCCGCGUGAGUGAUGAAGGCCUUAGGGUUGUAAGGCUCUUUUACCCGGGACGAUAAUGACUGUACCGGGAGAAUAAGCCCCGGCUAACUUCGUGCCAGCCGCCCAGUAA